Molecule: long non-coding RNA, 1180 nt
Filed under: Heterocephalus glaber (naked mole-rat)
Lineage: Eukaryota; Metazoa; Chordata; Mammalia; Rodentia; Bathyergidae
Description: lncRNA (ENSHGLG00000037084.1)
Source: RNAcentral
CUGAGACGCCCAGCUCGCUAGUUAGGCCGGUCCUCGCCUCUCCUUCCGAGCACCUCCUCCAGGAAGCCCGCCGUGACUCCCUAGAGUCAGGGAAGCCCUAGGGACAAUUCGGAAACCAGCGCUACGUCUCUCCAUCCUGUCCCCCUAACACACCAGCAGUGGAGAGAAAUGAACUGUGCCGAUGCCUUCAGGCUGAUUCCUGGCUGCCAGGAGUAAGCUGACUCCAUUCCCCACAUGCAGAAGAGAAGCUGAAGCCCAGAAUACCCCCGCUGCAUCCUCCCUGCUCAGCUCCCACAAACUCCACAUAGAGAAAGCGGCAUUGGAUGGAAAGCCAAGGAGAGAAUCAUAUCUAUUUCUAGUGACUCACGAAUGGGAGCCCUCUCUUUCAAGAAAACCAUGAUGUUAGAUCAAGAAAGGACCUGAGUUACACCUCUCUCACUGCAGAGCUCCGGGGGAAGUACCCAGAGUUGUUGCCAGGCCAUGAUAGUUACCGAGUCCUGGUGCAUUCAGGCACCGUCCUUAAGUACAGGAGCCUCGGGAUGGAAUGAAACAGAAUCUCCUUGCUCUCAUGAAGUCUUUGGAGAAAAGGGGAAAGAAUAAAGGGAACACAAGGAGAGCAGCAGCGCCGCUGUCUUAUGCUGUAUGUAUUUUGUACGAGUGAUCAGGAAAGGCCUCAGCAAGGAUGCCAUUUGAACACAGGUUGGAAGGAAGGGAGAGAGCAAACCAUGUGGAUGUUGGGAAGCAGGUUCUGGGCAGAGGGAAUAGUAUGUGCAAAGGGCCGGAGGCAGGAGCACGCCUGGUGUUUGAUAACCAGCAAAGAGGCCAGUGUGGCUGCAGGAGGGCAAGCGAGGGAGAGAGCAGGUGGUAGAGAUGGAGAGUGUGGGAAGCCAGCUCAUGCCAGGCCAUGGUGAGGACUUUGGCUUUUAUUCCAAAUGCGUGAGGAGUGUAGGAAUGACAGGUCACAUGAGCAUGUGUGGAUGUGGUACCAGGGACUGAACCCGGGGCCUUCGCACUGAGCUACACCCUCAGCCCUUUAUUUCAUUUCAUUUUAUUUUUGAGACAAAGUCUCCCUAAGUUGCCCAGGCCGGCCCAAACUUGUAGUCCUCCUGCCUCAGCCUCCCCGAGUGCUGGGAUUGCAGGCGUGUGCCACCAUAUCUGACUCAUGCCCAUUCUUUUUUAG